This 253-nucleotide ribosomal RNA is filed under the name uncultured prokaryote. Its description in RNAcentral is "partial 16S ribosomal RNA". It matches the Rfam family "Bacterial small subunit ribosomal RNA", at positions 524 to 776 of the family's 1533-position model. The record is from RNAcentral.
UACGUAGGGACCAAGCGUUAUUCGGAAUUAUUGGGCGUAAAGGGCGCGUAGGCGGCCUGGCAAGUGGAAGGUGAAAUCCCUCGGCUUAACCGAGGAACUGCCCUCCAAACUGCUUGGCUUGAGGCCGGGAGAGGUGAGUGGAAUUCCCAGUGUAGCGGUGAAAUGCGUAGAUAUUGGGGGGAACACCAGUGGCGAAGGCGGCUCACUGGACCGGUUCUGACGCUGAGGCGCGAAAGCGUGGGGAGCAAACGGG